AAUUGAGUCUAAUAUUUGAAUUUUUAACAUUGAUUCAUCAAAUUUAUCUAUUCAAUCAGCUUCAAACUUGAAUGCGUGUUGCUGUUCGUAUAGAUUUCUCAUCUAUGAACAAUGCUUCCAGUUCUAUAAGAAGAAUCUUUUAUGAAAAUAGCCUUUUUCUAUGUUUUUUUAAACGAUCGCUUUUAGUUUGUCAAUAUUAUUAUAGAGUUAAAUUGUUAGUAGUUGAAACUAGACUGCAAAGCCUGCGAACAAUCAAUCCUACACAACUCUUUGUGUUGGACAAACCAUUGGAAUUGGCAGGCCUUUGCAAGCUCCCUGUCCCCUGGGGCUUGUAACAGGUAACAAGCCUAUGCCUAUAUAUAGGUUUUCUACUGUUCAUCCACCACAGCCUAAGCACUAAAAGGAGUUUACAGACAGCACAGCACAGCACAGCUACACUGCCCUUUUGCUGUGGCAAUCAUCAACCAUCUUCUUUACCAGGGAAGCAAUCAAGACCCAGGGCCUGACAAAGAACACUUCAGAACUAUUAGCAAACAGCAACUAUCUCAACCCUGGAGAAGGAUUCUUCCAGGCCAACUUCGUCACCGGUUGAUGAUAUCCUGAUUUGGCCAUGAAUUGAGCAGCACUCUAUUAUCACUAAUAACAUGCCAAAGAGGGUAACGACCACUGCAGUCCUUGGAGGAUAAAUGAAUGGCUUCCAAAGAAUCCGAUUCCACCAAAGGCUCUGAAUACUCCACAGAACAAGCAAGUGAAGCCUCUAGCCCAGGUUCCCAUGCCAUCUCUUAUCAGACCACCGUGGGGGCAUAUCAAAAUUUUGUAAAUUUUGGUGUUUCAAUAAUGACUUGUAAGUAUUGCUAUCAAAAUUUGCAUAUCACUUUAGAAUAUUGAAACAAUACAGUAUCUAUGUACAAGUGAAGGCCUUUUUUUCCUGGGCCUUUCCUCCCUCGGAACCCUCAAAACAGAACAAAUGUAUUAUGUAUUUUGUGUUACAUUUACAAAUAUUUCACUUC
Molecule: long non-coding RNA, 1010 nt
Organism: Populus trichocarpa (black cottonwood)
Lineage: Eukaryota; Viridiplantae; Streptophyta; Magnoliopsida; Malpighiales; Salicaceae
Exons: 2
Source: RefSeq, a predicted model, not a curated record